CUGGUGAUGUCCAUGUGUAGAGUCUUCUCUUAUGUUGUUGGAAGAAGGUGUUUGCUAUGACCCUCGCCUUGGCAAAACUUUAUUAGCCUUUGCCCUGCUUCAUUCUGUAAUGAAUUCAUUCUCUAUCAGUACCUUCCUGUCACACACACGUAAAAUUGCAGUUGAAAUUUCACAAAGUAAUACCUUGGGCGAUGAAGAUAGGCUGGCUCCAAAGUCCAGUACAAUGUCCACCACCAGGACAGAUGCUAGUUACUACUCACUCACUAUGUGUUACUAUCCUAACUGUGUGAUGCUCGCCUCACAUUUUCUGGUGAACUACAGGAAAGGAGUCAGGUACCCCUGGCUAGAAAUCACAUAAAAUAAAAUGCUUAAUAGAAGAAAGACACCUAGGCCCAACAAGCUUUAUGAUGAAUAGGGGAAAGAAGCAAAUAUAUAUCCAGUGCAUAACUGUUUUACUUAUUUAGUGAGAUGGCACAGGAGAAUUGUUUUUUCUAUAUAUUCAUAUGUGUAUUUUUAUGUAGAGUUUAAUACAAUUCAGUCAUGAAAAUUUCUAUAUAUACAUUCAUAUUCUACAUUAUGUAUUUUAAGUUCAGUGGAACCUAUAAAAUUACUAAAAGAACUGAAAGUGAAUGUCACUCUGUCGUGUCAGACUCUCUGCGACCCCAUGGACUAUAGUCCAAAAUACUGGAGUGUGUAGCUGUUUCCUUAUCCAAGGGAUCUUCCCAACCCAGGGAUCAAACCUGGGUCUCCCGCAUUGCAGGUGGAUUCUUUACUAGCUGAGCCAUCAGGGAAGCCCAAGAAUACUGGAGUGGGUGGCCUAUCCCUUCUCCAGCGGAUCUUCCUGACCCAGAAAUCGAACCAGGGUGUCUUUCAUUGCAGGCAGAUUCUUUACCAGCUGAACUACCCGGGAAGCCCUAAUAUAAAUAAAUAAAUCACUAGAGAGGGAAGCAAUUUUCAUCAAUACAGUUUUCCUAGUUUCUUGAUUUUAAAUUUUAUUUUUUUUAUAGUAAGAAGCUUUUGUGUCCAACUAUUUUACCCUCCUGAAGUGGAAGUUCUUCCCCCUGGCCAGAUGUGUUCUUAGGAAAAGCUGUAGAAAACGGAUCCACCGCAGCGCUGUUUUUCUCAAAUGUGCCUCUUUUGCGGAUUAGUGGAGCUUUGGUGCCCCCUGGUAGCAGAACUGAGAAAAACAAGUAACAGGUCUCCCGCAGUUCGUGCGUUGCUGUCUGUGGACCUCUGCCCUCCAGAAAAUUCUGAAUUUUGGGUUUGAUUACUGCUCACAUUUAGGUUUUAACUCACU
Bos taurus (domestic cattle) is the source of this 1297-nucleotide long non-coding RNA. NCBI's taxonomy places the organism in Eukaryota, Metazoa, Chordata, Mammalia, Artiodactyla, Bovidae. The record is from Ensembl.